ACAUUUAGCGAGAGCUCGUUAGCGUAGGGGAAGUAGCAGUUCUCUGACCAAAAGCCCCCUCUAGCCUGAGUAAAGUAAUGAGGUAGUCAGUCGGACAGCUAAUUACACUUACCUUGAUUAAAAUAGACCGGCGUUGCCACAGUGAAAAUGGACCAGGAGUUUGAAGGCAUAGAUUCAGAGGGCCGGUGGCAAAAACUGUACCUAGAAAUCAGGAAUCAGUCCCACGAGUGCUCCUACAAAGUGGCAAAGUAUCCAGAGAAUAGGAACAGGAACAGAUACAGAGACGUCAGUCCAUUUGAUCACAGUCGAGUGAAGCUGGAGAACACAGAAAAUGACUACAUCAAUGCCAGUCUGGUAGUCAUGGAGGAAGCCCAGCGAAGUUACAUAUUGACUCAGGGCCCCCUCAGGAACACCUGUGGCCACUUUUGGCUCAUGAUCUGGGAGCAGAACACCAAGGCGGUCAUCAUGCUCAACAGGGUCAUAGAGAAGGGCUCAGAAAAGUGUGCCCAGUACUGGCCCACAGCUGAGGAAAGGGAGAUGGCAUUCAGAGACACACGUUUCUUGGUCACGCUGUUGUCAGAGGACACCAAGUCGUACUACACCACCAGAGUGUUGGAGCUGCAGAAUAUUAGUACAGGAGAGAAGAGAGAGAUCUACCACUUUCAUUACACCACGUGGCCUGAUUUCGGUGUCCCAGAGUCCCCGGCAUCCUUCCUAAACUUCCUCUUCAAAGUGCGGGAGUCAGGAGCAUUGGGGGUGGAUCACGGGCCGGCUGUGGUGCACUGCAGUGCAGGAAUCGGACGAUCAGGGACGUUUUCACUAGUUGACACGUGUGUGGUCCUGAUGGACAAGAGGAAAGACCCCUCAUCAGUGGACAUCAAAAGCAUCCUGUUGGACAUGAGGAAGUACCGCAUGGGCCUGAUCCAGACCCCUGACCAGCUGCGCUUCUCCUACAUGGCUGUCCUCGAAGGAGCCAAGUACAUCAAGGGUGACCCCUCUGUACAGAACCGGUGGCGGGAGCUGUCCAGGGAAGAUCAGGAACCGACGUCAGAGUCUCCCCCCUCAGCUCAGCCUCAGGCCAGGUGUCCGACGGAGCGAUGCAACGGCAACCAACGGGGAAGUCAGCUGGAGGAGGGAGGAGACUACAGACAGGAUGGCAAAGUACCUUCACAGUCUCCCUGCAAGGAACAGGAGCUGGAGGGCAGCACAACACACAAACGACGCAGAGAAGACAGUAUCUCCAAAUCAGGCACAGCCAAGACUCCACAAAGCAAGCCCAGGACAAAUGACUCUGAGAAGAAGAGAAAAAGCUUGGGCUGCAUUUGCUGCACAUGACAAGAGCUGGCCUGUCCAGUGGGGGGCAGUGUAUCUUUACCCCCCUCUGCGACAGCAACAACAACCACGAAGAGCACAUUUAAAGGACGAAGUUUAUCUGCUUUAAAAAGAACGCCCACUCUUGUACAUGGAGGGCGAAAACCAGCGACUGCUAACCACCUCCACCUGCGACCACGCACCGACAGCUCUGGCAUCAAAGCCAACAUCGGCAGGGAACUCCAGCCCUCUCCCAACCUCUGUGUCCUUCCUCCUCAACUCCAAACCACUCUUCCUCACCUCCACCUCAACAGCCAGCUCUGUUCUCUUCUUCAUCUCUUUGUUUUUUUUACCCCCCUUUUUGAUCCCAGCCCGGCGGCAUUAUUCAGCCACCACACACCUCCGUCUUCUUCUUCUUCCUGUUAUCGGCAUGUCACUCCCACGUCCGCCUCAGACCUCCACCUCACAGCUCUCCCGUGUGUCAUCCUCUCUAAACUGUUUACAGCAGACACUUUGACAUUCGUUGAAGACGGCACAUUUGCAAAGACAACCACACCAGCGCUUUAUCCCCAGGUCACACCUCAGCCACAGCCUGUGCUGCUUCUGGAGUCAGAGAAUCAGUUUUUCUGCUUUAAUCAUAUUAUUUGCAGCUCUAUUAUGCUUCUUUGCAUCCAUGAAAUCAAGACUGAUAAUAGAGUCUAUGCAUUGCCAAUUUGUAAUGCUGUUCAUAUGUUUAUUUUUAGAAAACAUUUUUUCAGAGGGGAAAAUUAAAAUGUUCUAUUUUUUAUAAGAGAUUACUUGAAGUUUUUCACGGUGAUGGGGGGUCGGUUGAAUGAGAAGCACUGCCUCCUCCCACAUGAGAAAUUCAGUGGCAUGUAAUGUUUCCAUGAUGUACAUAGUGUUGUUUUCAAAAAGAUGUGUGUAAAAAGACAUAUUUUUGCUGUAAAAAAAGAAAAAUGACAACAUUACUGAUUUGAAUACAGUAGAAAAGCUGAUGAUUUGACGACUUGUUCUCCUUUUGAGCUAAAUUUGUCUUAAGUUUAUGUUAGAGUGUUAUCUCCAAAUAAAACUGGUAUUAUCUAGUUUACGUAA
This is an RNA transcript of Chelmon rostratus (copperband butterflyfish), 2403 nucleotides long. It is a transcript of the gene named protein tyrosine phosphatase non-receptor type 2b, with no coding region annotated. The record is from RefSeq and is a predicted model, not a curated record. NCBI's taxonomy places the organism in Eukaryota, Metazoa, Chordata, Actinopteri, Chaetodontiformes, Chaetodontidae. The transcript is spliced from 11 exons.